CCUCCUUUAGUGUAAUGGUAGCACGGCGCACGCAAGGCGCUAGAGCGGUUCAACUCCGUAAUGUGUUAGAGCGGUUCGAUUCCGCAAGGAGGU
RNAcentral lists this transfer RNA (93 nucleotides) under Caudoviricetes sp. RNAcentral describes it as "tRNA-Leu". Lineage: Duplodnaviria; Heunggongvirae; Uroviricota; Caudoviricetes. The record is from RNAcentral.